GUUGACAAGACCAUCAAGAAAAAAAAAGGUUGGGGUUUCCCUAGUGGCUCAGUGGUAAAGUAGCCACCUGCCAAUGCAAGAGACAUGGCUUUGAUCCCCAAUCUGGGAGGAUGCUACAUGCUUUGGAGGAACUCAGCCCGUGCACCACAACGGUUCUCUAGAGCCCACAAGCCACAGCUGCUGAGCUUCGUGCCCUAGACCCCAUGCUCCGCAACAAGAGAAGCUGCUGUAAUGAGAAGCCCAAGCACCACACCAGAGAGUAGCUCCCUCUCACCGCAACUAGAGAAAAGCCCUCACAGCGACGAAGACCCAGUGCAGCCAAAAACAAAUGACCACACUGCAUGACAUAUACGAUCCUCGUUCCCCGACCAGGGACCAAACCC
Molecule: long non-coding RNA, 383 nt
Organism: Bos taurus (domestic cattle)
Lineage: Eukaryota; Metazoa; Chordata; Mammalia; Artiodactyla; Bovidae
Source: Ensembl